CNCCCUACGGGGGAAAAAUUUAUUGCUAUUAGAUGAGCCUAUAUUAGAUUAGUUAGUUGGUGAGGUAAAGGCUUACCAAGACAAUGAUCUAUAGCUGAUCUGAGAGGAUGAUCAGCCACACUGGAACUGAGAUACGGUCCAGACUCCUACGGGAGGCAGCAGUGGGGAAUAUUGGACAAUGGGCGAAAGCCUGAUCCAGCCAUGCCGCAUGAGUGAAGAAGGCCUUCGGGUUGUAAAGCUCUUUUAGUGAGGAAGAUAAUGACGGUACUCACAGAAGAAGUCCUGGCUAACUCCGUGCCAGCAGCCGCGGUAAUACGGAGAGGGCUAGCGUUAUUCGGAAUCAUUGGGCGUAAAGGGCGCGUAGGCGGGUUAGUAAGUUAAAAGUGAAAUCCCAAGGCUCAACCUUGGAACUGCUUUUAAAACUGCUAGUCUAGAGAUUGAAAGAGGAUAGAGGAAUUCCUAGUGUAGAGAUGAAAUUCGUAGAUAUUAGGAGGAACACCAGUGGCGAANGCGUCUAUCUGGUUCAAAUCUGACGCUGANGCGCGAANGCGUGGGGAGCAAACAGGAUUAGAUACCCUGGUAGUCCACGCUGUAAACGAUGAAUGUUAAAUAUGGGAAGUUUACUUUCUGUAUUAUAGCUAACGCGUUAAACAUUCCGCCUGGGG
RNAcentral lists this ribosomal RNA (665 nucleotides) under uncultured Wolbachia sp. Its description in RNAcentral is "bacterial SSU rRNA". It matches the Rfam family "Bacterial small subunit ribosomal RNA", at positions 190 to 878 of the family's 1533-position model. The record is from RNAcentral. Lineage: Bacteria; Pseudomonadati; Pseudomonadota; Alphaproteobacteria; Rickettsiales; Anaplasmataceae.